ACGGAGGGGGCUAGCGUUGUUCGGAAUUACUGGGCGUAAAGCGUGCGUAGGUGGUUUGUUAAGUCUGAUGUGAAAGCCCUGGGCUCAACCUGGGAAUGGCACUGGAUACUGGCAAGCUAGAGUGUGGCAGAGGGUAGUGGAAUUCCUGGUGUAGCAGUGAAAUGCGUAGAUAUCAGGAGGAAUACCGAUGGCGAAGGCAGGUCCCUGGGCUGACACUGACGCUCAUGCACGAAAGCGUGGGGAGCAAACAGGA
Molecule: ribosomal RNA, 253 nt
Filed under: uncultured prokaryote
Description: partial 16S ribosomal RNA
Rfam family: Bacterial small subunit ribosomal RNA
Source: RNAcentral